Molecule: ribosomal RNA, 255 nt
Filed under: Vibrio vulnificus
Lineage: Bacteria; Pseudomonadati; Pseudomonadota; Gammaproteobacteria; Vibrionales; Vibrionaceae
Description: partial 23S ribosomal RNA
Rfam family: Bacterial large subunit ribosomal RNA
Source: RNAcentral
GGAAAAGAAAUCAACCGAGAUUCCGAAAGUAGCGGCGAGCGAAAUUGGAUUAGCCCUUAAGCUUUACAUGUGUUAGACGAACGGUCUGGAAAGUCCGACGAUACAGGGUGAUAGUCCCGUAGUUGACGAUGCAUGUUCAGUGAAAUCGAGUAGGGCGGGACACGUGUUAUCCUGUCUGAAUAUGGGGGGACCAUCCUCCAAGGCUAAAUACUCCUGACUGACCGAUAGUGAACCAGUACCGUGAGGGAAAGGCGA